This 401-nucleotide ribosomal RNA is filed under the name Salmonella enterica subsp. enterica serovar Virchow. RNAcentral's name for it is "partial 23S ribosomal RNA". It matches the Rfam family "Bacterial large subunit ribosomal RNA", at positions 140 to 579 of the family's 2925-position model. Lineage: Bacteria; Pseudomonadati; Pseudomonadota; Gammaproteobacteria; Enterobacterales; Enterobacteriaceae. The record is from RNAcentral. RNAcentral also lists the same sequence under 1 other name.
UCGUCACACUAUCAUUAACUGAAUCCAUAGGUUAAUGAGGCGAACCGGGGGAACUGAAACAUCUAAGUACCCCGAGGAAAAGAAAUCAACCGAGAUUCCCCCAGUAGCGGCGAGCGAACGGGGAGGAGCCCAGAGCCUGAAUCAGCAUGUGUGUUAGUGGAAGCGUCUGGAAAGGCGCGCGAUACAGGGUGACAGCCCCGUACACAAAAGCGCAUGUGCUGUGAGCUCGAUGAGUAGGGCGGGACACGUGGUAUCCUGUCUGAAUAUGGGGGGACCAUCCUCCAAGGCUAAAUACUCCUGACUGACCGAUAGUGAACCAGUACCGUGAGGGAAAGGCGAAAAGAACCCCGGCGAGGGGAGUGAAAAAGAACCUGAAACCGUGUACGUACAAGCAGUGGGAG